This 138-nucleotide unclassified non-coding RNA is filed under the name Calonectria insularis. Its description in RNAcentral is "internal transcribed sequence 1". Lineage: Eukaryota; Fungi; Ascomycota; Sordariomycetes; Hypocreales; Nectriaceae. The record is from RNAcentral.
CCGAGUUUACAACUCCCAAACCCCAUGUGAACAUACCUGUUUCGUUCCCUCGGCGGUGUCCGGCAACGGCCCGCCAGAGGACCCAACAAACUCUUUUGAAUUUUUCAGUAUCUUCUGAGUAAAAAAAACAAUAAAUCA